Molecule: small nuclear RNA, 108 nt
Organism: Suncus etruscus (white-toothed pygmy shrew)
Lineage: Eukaryota; Metazoa; Chordata; Mammalia; Eulipotyphla; Soricidae
Source: RefSeq, a predicted model, not a curated record
GUGCUCACUUUGGCAGCAUGUAUACUAAAAUUUGAGCUAUACUGAAAUUAGCAUAGUCCUUGCUUGCACAAGGAUGGCACACAAAUUCAUAAAGAGUUCCAUAUAAUU